RNAcentral lists this ribosomal RNA (253 nucleotides) under uncultured bacterium. Its description in RNAcentral is "partial 16S ribosomal RNA". It matches the Rfam family "Bacterial small subunit ribosomal RNA", at positions 524 to 776 of the family's 1533-position model. The record is from RNAcentral.
UACGGAGGGUGCAAGCGUUAUCCGGAUUUACUGGGCGUAAAGGGCGCGUAGGCGGCAAUUCAAGUCAUCUGUGAAAUCUCCGGGCUUAACUCGGAACGGUCAGAUGAUACUGCUUUGCUAGAGUGCGGAAGGGGCAAUCGGAAUUCUCGGUGUAGCGGUGAAAUGCGUAGAUAUCGAGAGGAACACCAGAGGUGAAGACGGGUUGCUGGGCCGACACUGACGCUGAGGCGCGAAAGCCAGGGGAGCAAACGGG